Grus americana (Whooping crane) is the source of this 3239-nucleotide long non-coding RNA. RefSeq lists it as uncharacterized. The transcript is spliced from 9 exons. The record is from RefSeq and is a predicted model, not a curated record. Lineage: Eukaryota; Metazoa; Chordata; Aves; Gruiformes; Gruidae.
UCCUGGUAACAAUAAUAUUUGGAUUCAAAAAACUUAGAGUGAUCCAGAAAACUUGCAGUGAUCCUAAGACACUUAGUGCAAGAGUUGUCUCUUAAGUGCCUGAAUACACUGUAUGUGAUCAAUAUUUGAAUUGUAUUCCUUUGAGAACUCAAUAAUUUCGUUUUACUGAGUCUCAUUGCAUUUUUAUGUUACUUUCCACCCUCCUAGCGCACACGAUUGCUACUGGGUUGAUUCCAAACUUUUGGUAUCUUUCAAGUACCGGUAAAUCUGGCAAAUUCUUCUUCCUCUUAUUAAAUAAAAACUUAUAGUUACAGCAAUCUAUGAUUAAUCCCGUAUGUGAUGUUUGGCUUUCGUAAGUCUUUCAAAACUGGGGGAUUUUUAUGGGGAAAAAAAAAAUCUUUUUCUCUGUUUUUAUUUCAACUAAAUAUAUUUUAUUUUGCCAACCAAGAGAUAAUGACAGCCCAUUUAACAGGUCAGAUCCUCAGCUUCAUUGUUUCAGUGAACUGGGUUAAAACUGCCUUAUAUCUCACCCGAGAGAAGGACCUCCAUGGGCACACAAACCUGAUGCAGAAACCUGAAGAAAAGGAACGUGGAUGGCAAAUUUCCAUUACUUGUACUCCAUAUCCUAGACUGGUCCUUUGGUACACAGCGAAGCAUUGCGCUCUGAAUCAGAUGUGGUGAUGCUGAGCAAUGCUGGUGUCAAAUAGGAGACUGGAAAAACCAACUGGCGGUUUACCUUUGCCUGGGUCUCCCACUCCUGGACUAGGUGAAGUUCUCACUCCACACAGCGGUGAACACAGGGUUUGCCUACUCCCCCGGCUGCGCCUGGGGCAUCGCCGCUCUGGAGGGCACGUCUGGGCCCGGGUGAGUCAGUUUUCCUUCAGCUGGGCACUGCCGCUGGCACGGCGUGAGGUGGCUUCGUGGCAAGGGCAGGGAGCAGCCUGGGUCCCAACACGGGGGGGAUGUGGAGCAUUUCACCUUUAUUGCCGUUGGCUGAAAAUUUCAGCUUGUUGCAAACAACCCUGCGCUUUGCUGCCUAACAGUUCUCCUGAUUUCCAAUGAACCAGUGACCAAACAAAAGCGGGUCCUAAUUACCUCGAUCCCGGUUUUUUCUCUGAUAGAGUUUAAUGGGUAUGAAGUGUUACUAUUGAUUUUCACGGGAACAGGAAAGGGUUCACGUUAUCCAAUGCAUACUGAAAAUCCUAUGACAGUUACUGGAAGGCAAAAAGACACGCUAACUCUCCUUUAAAUUGCAGGAUGAAAAUUGUGUAUUAGAACAAUUAUGCCUCGGGGUGAAUGUAUACACUCACAGAGCUUCUACUGCAGUUACUGGAUGUUCUCCAAGUUCUAGUGAGAUGAUAAACAACUGGGCACUGGACUGAGUAACAGAGGAAUUCAUAUGAAUCCAAAUAUCAUCUUCACUGAAAAAAGCUCUUGGAUGUAUUAAAGAUUUUUUUUCCCCCCUCAAAAAUUGUAAGACUAAGAUUUGGUAAAUCUGAGGACUAAGCAAUGCCAAAUCAGUGUCGUGUCUGUGGCAAGAAUUGGUAACUGUUGGAACCGGAUGUGAAAUCAUGUCAGUUGGUUGUUCCACACCUGAGGCUGCUACCUGACCUUCCACACGCUGCUUUGAGGAAAUGAAAGGCUUUUUCCUGAUGGUGCUAAGACAAAAAAUCAUUCCAUGAUGCAUUCAUUACCUGCAUAUCAAUCCCCUUGGAAGGGACUUCUGGAGAUGUCUAAUCCGGCACCCAACUCAAAGCAACUUCAACCCUGAAGUCAGAUUCCACUCCAGACGUGAAUGAGGUUGCUGAGGGCCUGGCCCAGUUGGAAUCUCAGAUGCAUGUUCCAGUCUCUCUAGACAACCUAAUGGCUUUCUACUUGAUCAGCAACCAGACUGCACAGAUGCCUGAGUUUAAGAAUGCCUGAACUGCAGCAACUUCAAAAGAGCUAAUUUUCAGUGGGAUGGUAAAAAUCUAUAUAUUUCUGAAGAAGAGAUUGAUAAUUAAACGAAGAUCAUUAAUUUCUGUCCUUAAAAUAGUAAAAUCAAGUAUACAGCACAACAUCUUUUCAAAACCCUGAGCUUCCAGGCGAGGAGAUGCACCUCAGAUACUAACACCAGAAGGCUCAUCAGGAGUUGAAAAAAAGCUUGAAGCGUAAGAAACAUCACAGAGGCUGUCAAUUAAUAUCUCAUUAAUAAAGAAAACAACAACAAAAUGAACAAAUAAACAAGGAAAAUAGGCUAAGUGGAAAGGUGUUAAUUGAGGAAGAUCUGAAAGGCUUGAAAGAUCUAAACAUAAAGAAUUAAGAAAAGAGUGAGUUUUUCACGUGAAUUCAUCUGCUUGGAGAUGAAGACUUGGUCCUGCACAGCUGUGAUGUUGUGAAACAACAUGAAGAAUACAGACAUAAGCAAAAUCAACGGAACUGGGAAUGAGAGUAGACAGACAGUCAGGAUUCUGGGUUAGUGCAGAUGGAACAGACACUUGGUUGAAAAUGUUUCAUUUUCAGGUAUCACUGGAAAAAAAAAUCCAAUCAUUUCUACUAGCUGAACACCAAGCCAGUGACCAGAAGUGAAGAAGAAAAUAAGACUCCUGCUUUCCUUGAAGGGCUUGGUGUGAGGGAUGUGCACCACCUCUCAGGUCCUUGGAACCCCGUCUCCCAUAUUGGCCACUCUAAAAAUUUGACAUUGUUCUCUUGACCUAGCUAUGUUAAAUGCUAAAAUGGAUGAAUGACAUUUGAAGACUAAUGUGGGGGUUUUGGGGAGGUUUUUUUGAGAAUGACUAGGAAAAAAAAUUGGAAAAAAGGGAGGGGGAUAAAAAGGGAGAGACAGAAUCCUUCACAUGCGAGUCGCAUCCAUUUAAAAUCCAGUUAGAACAAGCAGUGAUAAAAUUAAUUCCUGUGUGCUAACUUUCAAGAAACAAGUUGAUAUGUCCAAUGGAGAUUACAGGCAACAAAAGCAGUCAACCUAGACCUCUGACCACUGCAUUACUGACCCUUGUUGAGUAUUCUAAUUAAUUAAAAUAAUUAAUUUUGUUGAGGAAUGUGUUUCACACUGUUAUGUAAGUCUAGCUAUGAUUAAAGAAAAUUAUGAACAAAAUAGGAAGGUAAUUUUGAUGUAUUAUGUUUAAAAGAAAUUUUAGUUUGUCUUCUGUAUAAUUCCCAUUAUCAGCAUAAUCAUCUAGUAUUGCGUGUCAUUUUUCUUCUUUCUUAUUUUCACUAAGACUACCAAAAAAAGUGUAAAGAUC